UACGGAGGGUGCAAGCGUUAUCCGGAUUCACUGGGUUUAAAGGGUGCGUAGGUGGGUUGGUAAGUCAGUGGUGAAAUCCCCGAGCUUAACUUGGGAACUGCCAUUGAUACUAUCAGUCUUGAAUAUUGUGGAGGUCAGCGGAAUAUGUCAUGUAGCGGUGAAAUGCUUAGAUAUGACAUAGAACACCAGUUGCGAAGGCAGCUGGCUAAGCAUAUAUUGACACUGAGGCACGAAAGCGUGGGGAUCAAACAGG
Molecule: ribosomal RNA, 253 nt
Filed under: uncultured bacterium
Lineage: Bacteria
Description: partial 16S ribosomal RNA
Rfam family: Bacterial small subunit ribosomal RNA
Source: RNAcentral